AAGUCGUAACAAGGUUUCCGUAGGUGAACCUGCGGAAGGAUCAUUAAAAGUGAAUUGGUUAAUGACAUUUCAUGUAUCAACUGCAUUAACCCAUUCCGAGUACCUUGCCUGUUGCUUCCAUGGGGCCUGACCUAUGGUCACUCUUGAUGAUUGUGAAACCCAAGAGAGUCCCCCAUGGGGAGGUAAUCAUUAAAUUUCAAUGUAUCCAAUGUACUUCUGUCUGAACUGUUUAUAACAAAUGUUAAAA
Molecule: unclassified non-coding RNA, 247 nt
Filed under: plant metagenome
Description: partial contains small subunit ribosomal RNA and internal transcribed spacer 1
Rfam family: Eukaryotic small subunit ribosomal RNA (bases 1-46)
Source: RNAcentral